GACGAACGCUGGCGGCGUGCCUAACACAUGCAAGUCGAGCGAGAAGCUUAUGAUUGAGACUUCGGUUGAUUGAAUGAGUGGAAAGCGGCGGACGGGUGAGUAACGCGUGAGUAACCUGCCUUAUGGAGGGGGACAACAGUUAGAAAUGACUGCUAAUACCGCAUGAUAUAUAUUUAUCGCAUGGUAGAUAUAUCAAAGAUUUAUCGCCAUAAGAUGGACUCGCGUCUGAUUAGAUAGUUGGUGAGGUAACGGCUCACCAAGUCGACGAUCAGUAGCCGAACUGAGAGGUUGAUCGGCCACAUUGGGACUGAGACACGGCCCAGACUCCUACGGGAGGCAGCAGUGGGGGAUAUUGCACAAUGGGGGAAACCCUGAUGCAGCAACGCCGCGUGAAGGAAGAAGGUCUUCGGAUUGUAAACUUUUGUCUUAUGGGAAGAAGAAAGUGACGGUACCAUAGGA
RNAcentral lists this ribosomal RNA (459 nucleotides) under uncultured bacterium. RNAcentral describes it as "bacterial SSU rRNA". It matches the Rfam family "Bacterial small subunit ribosomal RNA", at positions 28 to 485 of the family's 1533-position model. The record is from RNAcentral.